Molecule: long non-coding RNA, 7484 nt
Organism: Betta splendens (Siamese fighting fish)
Lineage: Eukaryota; Metazoa; Chordata; Actinopteri; Anabantiformes; Osphronemidae
Exons: 2
Source: RefSeq, a predicted model, not a curated record
UGUGGAAAACCUGAUGGAGACCAUCUUCAAUAAAGUCCUGCUGGACUCAGGUUGUUCCAUGGAGGGCCUUAUUAACAUCCCUAUCCCACUGGCCCACAAAGUGUAUUUCUAGGCAUAUAUUGCUUGUAAGCCAAACUCCAAAGGAAUCCUCCACAUUGGAUCAACUUAGCGCAUACUGUACCCUCCCGGAAGGUGCAGUGUUUUCCUAACAAUAAGCCGUGGAUUACCCCCAGAUAUGAAGAAUCUGCUGAAGGAGAAGAAGAGAGCCUUCAGUUUAGGGAACAAGGAGGAGCUGAGGAGAAAGAUCAGAGAGGCGACGCUACAGGAGGAAGAUGGAGGAGCAACUACUGUACAACAGCAGAUCAUCAGUGGGGUGUGGCAGAGCCUAAAGACUGUUUCAGCCUUCAAAAAACCCCACACUCAAACAGAGGGGAACUGACAGUGGGCCAACGACCUAAAUAUGCAUUUCUGUAGGUUUGACCAGUCACUCCCUCCUCCGCAGCCGCAUCCUCUCUCCCAAAUACCUGGACAAUGCCCCACUCCCUCAGCCCUUCAAACCUCUAGCACAGUACUUCACCCCAGCACUUCACAGCUCCAUGAAGUGCCUUUAUUACUAUACAGCUGCCUCACUUAAGGGACAAAUUGGAGUCAGCUGGUGCGACAAUUACCUGACAGAGUGUAUACUGGACUACCUGUAAUGGAAAAAUUUUACCUUAGUGCUGUUUUUUAUCCAACACACUCGUCAUGUGCUGGUUAGGUGCAAUACUGAACAUUCUUACACAAACAAAUAAUCUCUUGUGCCCUGACGUACAUCAAGUCUAAACAUCUGAUGCUCCAUUUGACUGACUAAUAAUUUCUGAUAUAUGUUUGUCUUUUACACCCGGACUCUGGCUCCAUCCUAUCUGACUCCCCACCAGACCCAAGGCUGUUAAAGCAAAUGCAUCUUGUCUUGGAAGCUCGGUGUUCCUUCCUUUGGAUAACAAGACAUGACGAUGCAGAAGUGAGAAAGCAAACAUUCUCACUCACAGCGAGAUAAGCUGGCGCAAACAAUUCCAUUGCUGCAGAGAGACAUUCCACCAGAGCCAGAGAAAGGGGUUAAAAGGCAGAAGCAACUUUAGGAUCGUGGGCUCUUUGCAUCACACCUUCGUGGUGUGUGCACUGAUCUCCCCAGCUGGUUUUUUGGUUUGUUGAUGUGCACGAUCAACAUCCAUGCUUUUUAUUUGCUUUCCCCAUUAUUUUUAUUUUCUUUAUUAUUUCAAUAAAUCGCACAAAAGGACAACUCUCUCUCAUCUACUUCUUUAUGGAAAAUUUCCACCACAGAAAUUGGCGUCUACGAGCAGGAUCCCGCAGCAGGUCGUCUGGACGGUGUGACCAGGGACGAUAGUCCUGAGAACUAGGGUCGCUCAGCCUCCAAACCUCUACAGACAUUCAGAGCUGGGAGGACUGCUCACCCGUCUGGAUCGCCUCUGACGAGAUCCACGAACUCGGAUUCAAACUCAAAUCCUAAUUUGACUCGGCCCGGUGAGAGAGAUUCCGUUUUGUUGCGACUUAUCGAAGAAAAAAAAAAGAAAACGGGUUUGAAAUUGGUUUCAGGUAUUCGGGAUUUACUUGGCUCUGAUCAUUUGGUUUAGGGAAAGUAAGGCAAAUAACAAUUAAUUCCAAAACAUCCCCAACUAGACUAAAACAACGACAAAAGAAAAUAUAACUAGGACUAGAGAUGAUAAUAUUUCUAAAACGACUAUGUGGUUGAAAACAUCUAAAAUAUAAUAAUUAGGACCAAACAAUUUUUUUUUAAUUAAAAAACUUAAUAUUCGGGUAAAAAAAAAUUAAUUAGGUCAAAGUGUGCCCUGGUGGUCGAGACGGUGGUUGCUAAGGGUUGGCUCGUGGAACCGAGCUUCCGUCUGUACUGAGGAUACAGACAUGUUUUUCUGAUCUGUGCGUGGUCCACACGUGGGGGACUGAGUAUAAAAGACGGCUUCUGAAAGAGGGAGUGCGUUUGCAGAGUGAAGUAUUUUCAAGAGACGAGGGCCCCGGGCCUAGAGGGGCCUAACGUUGAGGAAGUACUUCGUGAAAGACUCUGUCGCCAGAUCGGGUUGGUUCCCUUUUUACGGAGACGUCCGAUAAAAAGGCAUUUUGGGAAGGUUCCGGCCGGAACACAUAAAAAUCUAAGGCAGAAAACCGCCGGGACUCUGAAAGAUGGGUUCGGGGCGAUCUAAGUCUCCACCACCAGACUGCAGCAUUACAAAACUAAAGAACUGAGCGCGAUGAGGGUAAAUCCGGAUCUGGACUCCUUUCCCACCAUCAGCAGAAGAACCGAAGGAGAAGAAGCGCCGACCAACAACCAGAACAGGGUGGAAGCUCUGACACCACAGCAGCUGGAGGACACAGACCACAGCAUGGACGCCUCACCGACUCACACAACGUCUGCAGCCAUCACGUUCUGGGCUCAUCAGAUGAACCAGCUACUACAGACCCCGCACCAGCAUGAAAGGACUGUGUCUGAAGCUUCAGAGGAAACUGUCUUACAAGCGUGUGUGUCUGACAGACACCUGCUUAUGACAAUCAGCAAAGGAAAACAAGGACAGAGCAACAGCAGAAAAGACGUGCUCUGACACAGACACUGGUUGAAACAACAGGAGAGGCUUCAGACGUGAUCGGCCCAAUAGAGCUGCAUCUGAGGAUCCAGGAAAGGUCUGUCAUCGAGGAACAACUGUCCCAUUGAAAUGCUUCACCCGCUGGCGCUCACAUCAGACUGAUGGUUGGGGAAGGAGGAAGGUGACGGUUCCUUUUCACGUGACGUACAAGACGGUACCGCAAACACACACACACAUUCAUACACGCAAUGAAGAAACACGCUUACAGCUGAUACACGCUCAAAUUCAUGUUCAUGCUUAUCUGCUUGCAAUGAAGAAUCGCUUUUUGCUCAAAAAAAAAAUCCCACAGAGUGAUUUUAAAAAUAUGACAAACAGCUAAAUGACAACUGCUGCAUGACUUUACAGUCUGAUGGGUUUAAACUAUUUUAACUUGCAACAAAUUCAGUAAUAAAAUCCUUCAUGUUUCUAAAAAUACUUGUGCACAAUAUAGGUUUGUCUGGCCAGACUAGAAGACUGUAGAAAACAAAACCAGACCAUAGGAAGACUCAAACUGACUGAAACAGACUAUCAAUGACUAUUAAAGGGAAGACGACUAUUAGAGAGAAGUAAUAAUAAUUACUGUACGUACCAGACUAUUAAAGAAAAACCUAUUCUUUCACUGUCUUGUGCAACAUCUGACAGCAAGACACCGUAACAUUCAUUUUUGCUUUCAAACUUAUGCCCAGUUUAAAUUUUUAGGAAGAGAUCUCAUGUGUAGUUUAGGUAUUUGAUUGAUUUCCACUCCAGACGAAGUGCAGGUUACAUCUACAGACAUUCUAAAUAAUCCCUCUUUUGUUGGUGUUAACUUCAGCUCAGCUGUGCUCCUAUCAUUGGCUGCUGAGGGGGGGCUGUAACUGAGGCCCUCACACAGGCUGCAUCACAGCUUGUUUAUGAUUUCACACACACACAAACUGACCUCAACUUCCCUCUUUUGGGAUGAACACAGGUCUGCGCUUGCGAUUUCUUUUACUAACGAACAAAAAAGAUUUUUGAUGUUUAUUUUACAGUUCCACACGUCCCUCUGUGAAAACAUGAUGGAGACAGAUGCAGGACGUGGGUCCUUUCGUGAACAGAUGUCAACGGGGUAGAGACUGGUGAACGACUUCUGACCCCAUGUGACGUAUUCACCUACUUUGCAUACUUUUAGAAAACUUCUUUUAUUCUGCCGUCAUGUGCAGCAAACAGUAAACUGGGUACCUCCACAUUCUAAUGACACACAUUACACGCUUUUGUUUUUAUUUUCAUUUUUCAGAGGACGCUCUGACCCAACACUCAGCCUUACAGGAAGCCCUGCUUCCAUGUGGCUCACACACAGACAUGAUGUAGGUUCGAUCAGAGGAUGUGAACCAGUGGUCAUCGCACCUAAAUCUGACCACAGACCAUGUAAACAACAACACCCUCUUAAAGGAAGCCAUAGAUGGCGUUACUGCAGACACCACUAAGCUACUGAAACAUUGGAUGCAACAGGCCACAAAGAGAGCCUGUCUAAAUUACACUUUGUUUAGACAAAAUUAUUUUCUGGGUCAUUGUAAUUACAGCUGAUGGCAAAUCCAUCUCACCCAACAGAGUUAAAGCAAUUUGAAACCUGCCUAAACCGUGCACGUAAAAACAGCUGAUGUUUUUUCUAGGUCUUUGUUCUUAUUGUAGGACUUUCGUUCCUAACUUUACCUUCUCUGAGGCCCCACUCAGGGUUCUGAUGCAGACGUCUUCAUCGUCCACUUCUUGUCUCACGUGGACGUCUGAGGCUGAACAACGUUCACCGACCUCAUGCUUGCUCUUCAGUUGGCUCCUACUUUGGGUCUUCCUGAUCUGACCCUACGCGACCUUUCACUCAAACAGUGGAUGAGAAAUCAGGUUGUACGACUUCUGUUCUUUUGUCCUCAUACUUUGAUUCUUUUGGAAAACAUCACAUCUUUCUACAGCCCGAUGGCUUAGAUGCAACACCACCUUACUCAACAUGCUGAACAUUACUAUCAAGAGGUCGUCUUGAAGUCUGGCGCUUUGCUAAGACACUACUCUGCUCAGGCUGCAGAGUUGAUUGCGUUGACUGAAGCUGGUAAACUAGCAGAAGGAGAGACUGUUACCAUCUACAGACUCCACAGAUGCUUGUGACACUUUGGUUCUCCUUGGAAGCAUGGGAAGCUUUUUGAAGUCUAAUUGCAAACCUAUCUCACAUCAUGAUUAGGUUCUGCUUUGCUGGACGCUGUCCUGCUGCCUACAGCUAAUGCUGUUUUUACAUCAUCAGUGACGACUUUGUUUCUGCCGACAUGCAGCUGCAGACGCUGCUGCGAAGGACGACAACCCCUCCCUCUCCUGAUCCUCGUUUCCUCUCCUCAUCCUUGUUCCCUCUCUCCAACUCUCUCUAUCCUUUCCUUCCUUUCUUCCUCUCUCCCUGUGCUUUAAACAUUUUCUACCUCGCAGGAACGCAGACUCUGGCUGACAAAUGGUUCCACCUGUAGCCAUGGAGUCUGGUUUGGGCCUGAUGACACGCCGUACCGCCCAAACACCUUUUCCCCAUAAUUCAGAUUUCCCAACAGGUGAAAGCAGGCGACAGGACCAUUACACCAUCCAACCAGGGCACUGGGUGAUCGUUAAGGAGUUCAGGAGGAAGCACUGGGACUCCAAACGGUGGCGAGGCCACUUCCAGGUCCUUCUGACGACCAACACGGCUGUGAAGAUCGCAGAGAAAGAGCGACUUGGAUCCACUCCAGCCACUGCAGGAAGGUCCCGGAUCCAACAGACGACCCUCCAUCUACAUCUCACGAAGAAAACCACCAAUAAAGAAAAGAACUGAGAAGGACGACCCUCGCUGUGCUCACACACGCACUGAGGCGAGGCUGCGUUGACCGUUCAGCUGAAGGUGUGAGCCAAGCGCCGCCUGAAGCUGCACCGGUGAAUCACACUAUCAGACCAUACAUCUACACACACGUUCCUGAGAAAACACACACACGAGCAGCCUUGAGUUGCCGACGCUGGACGACGUGUAGACUCUUCACAUCACGGGAGUGACAGUGACUCAGACGACAUUGGGAGGAAACCUGGCGGUGAUAACGAAUCCCAAGUGUCUCUGUGAUCAGCUGAUCACUACCUGAAGAACUCCAACGAACAAUCAAUACUUCAACACACAGGUUGGAAACAAUCUAACGCUACUGUUCAACAGGAAGAAGCAGAUUGUUACGAGACAUCAAUUGUAAACAUGCUUUGUUAGACUUCAUUUUAUGUUACUCUGAUUAUUGCCUUUAUCACAUGAUGUUUCUAUGUAACUUUGCACACUACUUUUGAAUGAGAAAAUUUCACAUAAUUCACAACACUGAGUUUAAAUAUCCUAAAGUUGACUUGGUGUUUAAUUUGCUCACAAUCACUUUAUUCACUGCUACAAUUAGUUUUAUCCUUCAUCUACAGAUGAAAGACAACACAAGCGGAAAAACGCAUCAUCAUUCUGGUUAAAUCCCUGAAUCUCCUAUUCGCUCUAGGCCCAAAUGUACAAUUAAAGAUCCGAAAGCAUGAAAUCUAUCUGAAGAUUAUAUGAAACAGAACCCCACCGGAAACCUAUGGCUAUCAUACAUUAAUUGUCUUUAUUACAUUACAAUUGAAUGGCCGUAGACACGUUGUUAGCAGAGAAAAGAGGCGUUUGUGUUAUGUUUGGAGAGGCAUGUUGUACUUACAUCCUGAAUAACACUGAUUCUAAUGGUAUUGUGGCGAAGGCGCUCCACGGCCUUCAGAAUCUCAGCUAACUCUGGUAUAGGGUUUUUUUCCCUUGGAAUUGGCUAGACGAAACGUCUGGAAAAUGGAAAUCUGUUCUCAUGUCCACAGCUGUUUCUUUUAUCAUUGAGAUGGCUGUGAUUCUCUUGUUUGGUUUUUGCGUUAUCCCACUGGUUAAAGGUCUCAUCAUGCGUGCGACCUCAGCAACACUCUCGUAUCAAAUGACACAAUGCACUAUGUUCAAAAACCCCAACUCUAAUUCACUUAAUGACUUUGACGAUGGUCUUAGGCUAUCUGAUCACAAAAUAUAAUCUGAUACAAAUAUGAUUAUGAGCUUAUUUUCUUCACAUGCUCAUACAGAGGUUAUUCUUGUUUAACUACCCACCAAAACAGCUCCCAACCUUUUAUCCCUAAGUUACUUGCAUUUUUAUGUGAAGGUGUAUUUUUGAAUUUUGACUUAAUACACUUACUGUUUCAUUUGUAAGGGUUGUUACUACAAAAUGCAAUGUUUGAAAAAUUUUAUUACUUUAGUGUUUGAUUAAUGUGUAAUCAAAAGGGGGGAAUGUAAUGGAAAAAUUUUACCUUAGUGCUGUUUUUUAUCCAACACACUCGUCAUGUGCUGGUUAGGUGCAAUACUGAACAUUCUUACACAAACAAAUAAUCUCUUGUGCCCUGACGUACAUCAAGUCUAAACAUCUGAUGCUCCAUUUGACUGACUAAUAAUUUCUGAUAUAUGUUUGUCUUUUACACCCGGACUCUGGCUCCAUCCUAUCUGACUCCCCACCAGACCCAAGGCUGUUAAAGCAAAUGCAUCUUGUCUUGGAAGCUCGGUGUUCCUUCCUUUGGAUAACAAGACAUGACGAUGCAGAAGUGAGAAAGCAAACAUUCUCACUCACAGCGAGAUAAGCUGGCGCAAACAAUUCCAUUGCUGCAGAGAGACAUUCCACCAGAGCCAGAGAAAGGGGUUAAAAGGCAGAAGCAACUUUAGGAUCGUGGGCUCUUUGCAUCACACCUUCGUGGUGUGUGCACUGAUCUCCCCAGCUGGUUUUUUGGUUUGUUGAUGUGCACGAUCAACAUCCAUGCUUUUUAUUUGCUUUCCCCAUUAUUUUUAUUUUCUUUAUUAUUUCAAUAAAUCGCACAAAAGGACAA